GAUGAACGCUGACCGAAUGCUUAACACAUGCAAGUCGAUGGGGAAGUGGUGCUUGCACCAUGGCAACCAUGGCGGACGGGUGAGUAACGCGUAAGGGACUUACCUGCAGGACUGGGAUAACAGGGGGAAACUCCUGACAAGACCGGAUAAUGUCAUGGAGCUGCAUGGCUUUAUGAUGAAAGGAGACGCCUGCGGAGAGCCUUGCGUCCUAUUAGCUAGUUGGUGAGGUAAUGGCUCACCAAGGCGAAGAUAGGUAGCCGGCCUGAGAGGGUGGACGGCCACAAGGGGACUGAGAUACGGCCCUUACUCCUACGGGAGGCAGCAGUGGGGAAUAGUGGACAAUGGGGGCAACCCUGAUCCAGCAAUUCUGUGUGCACGAAGAAGGUUUUCGGAUUGUAAAGUGCUUUCAGCAGGGAAGAAGUAAGUGACGGUACCUGCAGAAGAAGCGACGGCUAAAUACGUG
This 463-nucleotide ribosomal RNA is filed under the name uncultured bacterium. RNAcentral's name for it is "partial 16S ribosomal RNA". It matches the Rfam family "Bacterial small subunit ribosomal RNA", at positions 28 to 507 of the family's 1533-position model. The record is from RNAcentral.